This 429-nucleotide ribosomal RNA is filed under the name Bacteroidota bacterium. RNAcentral's name for it is "Bacteroidetes bacterium partial 16S ribosomal RNA". It matches the Rfam family "Bacterial small subunit ribosomal RNA", at positions 355 to 776 of the family's 1533-position model. Lineage: Bacteria; Pseudomonadati; Bacteroidota. The record is from RNAcentral.
UAGGGAAUCUUCCGCAAUGGACGCAAGUCUGACGGAGCAACGCCGCGUGAGUGAAGAAGGAUUUCGGUUCGUAAAACUCUGUUGUUAGAGAAGAACAGCGCAUAGAGUAACUGUUAUGCGUGUGACGGUAUCUAACCAGAAAGCCACGGCUAACUACGUGCCAGCAGCCGCGGUAAUACGUAGGUGGCAAGCGUUGUCCGGAUUUAUUGGGCGUAAAGCGAGCGCAGGCGGUCAAUUAAGUCUGAUGUGAAAGCCCCCGGCUCAACCGGGGAGGGUCAUUGGAAACUGGUUGACAUGAGUGCAGAAGAGGAGAGUGGAAUUACAGGAGUGGCGGAGAAAUGCGAAGAUAUAUGGAGGAACACCAGUGGCGAAGGCGACUCUCUGGUCUGUAACUGACGCUGAGGUUCGAAAGCGUGGGUAGCAAACAGG